GACGAACGCUGGCGGCGUGCUUAACACAUGCAAGUCGAACGGAAAGGCCCUGCUUUUGUGGGGUGCUCGAGUGGCGAACGGGUGAGUAACACGUGAGUAACCUGCCCUUGACUUUGGGAUAACUUCAGGAAACUGGGGCUAAUACCGGAUAGGAGCUCCUGCUGCAUGGUGGGGGUUGGAAAGUUUCGGCGGUUGGGGAUGGACUCGCGGCUUAUCAGCUUGUUGGUGGGGUAGUGGCCUACCAAGGCUUUGACGGGUAGCCGGCCUGAGAGGGUGACCGGCCACAUUGGGACUGAGAUACGGCCCAGACUCCUACGGGAGGCAGCAGUGGGGAAUAUUGCACAAUGGGCGGAAGCCUGAUGCAGCAACGUCGCGUGCGGGAUGACGGCCUUCGGGUUGUAAACCGCUUUCGCCUGUGACGAAGCGUGAGUGACGGUAAUGGGUAAAGAAGCACCGGCUAACUACGUG
Molecule: ribosomal RNA, 468 nt
Filed under: uncultured bacterium
Lineage: Bacteria
Description: partial 16S ribosomal RNA
Rfam family: Bacterial small subunit ribosomal RNA
Source: RNAcentral